AAAAAGGGGUCUUCUGCUGUGAGUGGCACACAUAGAACAGCUCCUUGUUCUACGUGCAAAAUUGACAUCGAGAGAUUUCAGAAGCAUAAUUUUGUGGCAGCAGGGGAGCUGGUAAUCACUGGUAAUCGCUAGUACUGGCACCUCA
This 145-nucleotide small nuclear RNA is filed under the name Sorex araneus (European shrew). RNAcentral describes it as "U11 spliceosomal RNA (ENSSARG00000017999.1)". It matches the Rfam family "U11 spliceosomal RNA". Lineage: Eukaryota; Metazoa; Chordata; Mammalia; Eulipotyphla; Soricidae. The record is from RNAcentral.